RNAcentral lists this ribosomal RNA (374 nucleotides) under uncultured bacterium. Its description in RNAcentral is "bacterial SSU rRNA". It matches the Rfam family "Bacterial small subunit ribosomal RNA", at positions 523 to 897 of the family's 1533-position model. The record is from RNAcentral.
AUACGUAGGGUGCAAGCGUUAAUCGGAAUUACUGGGCGUAAAGCGUGCGCAGGCGGUGAUGUUAGACAGAUGUGAAAUCCCCGGGCUCAACCUGGGAACUGCAUUUGUGACUGCAUUGCUGGAGUGCGGCAGAGGGGGGUGGAAUUCCGCGUGUAGCCGUGAAAUGCGGAGAUAUGCGGAGGAACACCGAUGGCGAAGGCAAUCCCCUGGGCCUGCACUGACGCUCAUGCACGAAAGCGUGGGGAGCAAACAGGAUUAGAUACCCUGGUAGUCCACGCCCUAAACGAUGUCAACUGGUUGUUGGGAAUUUACUUUCUCAGUAACGAAGCUAACGCGUGAAGUUGACCGCCUGGGGAGUACGGCCGCAAGGUUGA